GGCUCAGAUUGAACGCGGGCGGCAUGCUUUACACAUGCAAGUCGAACGGCAGCACGGGGGCAACCCUGGUGGCGAGUGGCGAACGGGUGAGUAAUGUAUCGGAACAUAUCCGGAAGUGGGGGAUAACGUAGCGAAAGUUACGCUAAUACCGCAUAUGCCCUGAGGGGGAAAGGAGGGGAUCGUAAGACCUUUCGCUUUCGGAGUGGCCGAUAUCAGAUUAGCUAGUUGGUGAGGUAAAGGCUCACCAAGGCGACGAUCUGUAGCUGGUCUGAGAGGACGACCAGCCACACUGGGACUGAGACACGGCCCAGACUCCUACGGGAGGCAGCAGUGGGGAAUUUUGGACAAUGGGCGAAAGCCUGAUCCAGCCAUGCCGCGUGAGUGAAGAAGGCCUUCGGGUUGUAAAGCUCUUUCGGACAGAAAGAAAUCGCACUUACUAAUACUAGGUGUGGAUGACGGUACUGUAAGAAGAAGCACCGGCUAACUACGUGCCAGCAGCCGCGGUAAUACGUAGGGUGCGAGCGUUAAUCGGAAUUACUGGGCGUAAAGCGUGCGCAGGCGGUUUUGUAAGACAGGUGUGAAAUCCCCGGGCUUAACCUGGGAACUGCAUUUGUGACUGCAAGGCUAGAGUAUGGCAGAGGGGGGUAGAAUUCCACGUGUAGCAGUGAAAUGCGUAGAGAUGUGGAGGAAUACCGAUGGCGAAGGCAGCCCCCUGGGUCAAUACUGACGCUCAUGCACGAAAGCGUGGGGAGCAAACAGGAUUAGAUACCCUGGUAGUCCACGCCCUAAACGAUGUCAACUAGGUGUUGGGGGAGGAGACUUCCUUAGUACCGCAGCUAACGCGUGAAGUUGACCGCCUGGGGAGUACGGCCGCAAGGUUGAAACUCAAAG
RNAcentral lists this ribosomal RNA (891 nucleotides) under uncultured bacterium. RNAcentral's name for it is "bacterial SSU rRNA". It matches the Rfam family "Bacterial small subunit ribosomal RNA", at positions 21 to 906 of the family's 1533-position model. The record is from RNAcentral.